CUAGUAAUCGCGGAUCAGCAUGCCGCGGUGAAUACGUUCCCGGGCCUUGUACACACCGCCCGUCACACCAUGGGAGUCGGUAACACCCGAAGCCUGUAGUCUAACCGCAAGGAGGACGCAGUCGAAGGUGGGAUUGAUGACUGGGGUGAAGUCGUAACAAGGUAAC
RNAcentral lists this ribosomal RNA (166 nucleotides) under uncultured bacterium. RNAcentral's name for it is "partial 16S ribosomal RNA". It matches the Rfam family "Bacterial small subunit ribosomal RNA", at positions 1335 to 1500 of the family's 1533-position model. The record is from RNAcentral.